AUACGGAGGGUGCAAGCGUUAAUCGGAAUUACUGGGCGUAAAGCGUACGUAGGCGGUUAUUUAAGUCAGAUGUGAAAGCCCCGGGCUUAACUUGGGAACUGCAUUUGAAACUGGGUAACUAGAGUUUAGUAGAGGGGAGUGGAAUUUCAGGCGUAGCGGUGAAAUGCGUAGAGAUCUGAAGGAACACCAGUGGCGAAGGCGACUCCCUGGACUAAAACUGACGCUGAGGUACGAAAGCGUGGGUAGCAAACAGGAUUAGAAACCCUUGUAGUCC
This 274-nucleotide ribosomal RNA is filed under the name uncultured bacterium. Its description in RNAcentral is "partial 16S ribosomal RNA". It matches the Rfam family "Bacterial small subunit ribosomal RNA", at positions 523 to 796 of the family's 1533-position model. The record is from RNAcentral.